Non-coding RNA from Lonchura striata (white-rumped munia), 196 nucleotides. The record is from RefSeq and is a predicted model, not a curated record. NCBI's taxonomy places the organism in Eukaryota, Metazoa, Chordata, Aves, Passeriformes, Estrildidae.
AAAACCGGGACGGAGUCGGGACACCGAGACACCGGAGAGCUCGGGACGGGACCGGCGCGCGGAGGCCGGCCAGCACGGUUCGACAUGGUCGCCGGUACAGAACGACAGAAACGAGCUACUGCCUGUGAAAGUGCUUCUUGUAAAUGGUCUGAGCAGUUGCUGAAGGUUUGCAGCAGAGGAAACCUCUUCAGAUGGA